Molecule: ribosomal RNA, 492 nt
Filed under: uncultured bacterium
Lineage: Bacteria
Description: partial 16S ribosomal RNA
Rfam family: Bacterial small subunit ribosomal RNA
Source: RNAcentral
AGUGAACGCUGGCGGUAGGCCUAACACAUGCAAGUCGAACGGCAGCACAGUAAGAGCUUGCUCUUACGGGUGGCGAGUGGCGGACGGGUGAGGAAUACAUCGGAAUCUACUUUUUCGUGGGGGAUAACGUAGGGAAACUUACGCUAAUACCGCAUACGACCUACGGGUGAAAGCAGGGGAUCUUCGGACCUUGCGCGAUUGAAUGAGCCGAUGUCGGAUUAGCUAGUUGGCGGGGUAAAGGCCCACCAAGGCGACGAUCCGUAGCUGGUCUGAGAGGAUGAUAAGCCACACUGGAACUGAGACACGGUCAAGACUCCUACGGGAGGCAGCAGUGGGGAAUAUUGGACAAUGGGCGCGAGCCUGAUCCAGCCAUACCGCGUGGGUGAAGAAGGCCUUCGGGUUGUAAAGCCCUUUUGUUGGGAAAGAAACGCAGCAGGUUAAUACCACGCUGUUCUGACGGUACCCAAAGAAUAAGCACCGGCUAACUUCGUG